RNAcentral lists this ribosomal RNA (441 nucleotides) under uncultured Trebouxia photobiont. Its description in RNAcentral is "partial 16S ribosomal RNA". It matches the Rfam family "Bacterial small subunit ribosomal RNA", at positions 376 to 769 of the family's 1533-position model. The record is from RNAcentral. Lineage: Eukaryota; Viridiplantae; Chlorophyta; Trebouxiophyceae; Trebouxiales; Trebouxiaceae.
CGAAAGCCUGAUCCAGCUAUAUCGCAUGAAUGAAGAAGGCUCAAUUGGUUGUAAAAUUCAUAGUUUCAUUGUAGAUUAUGACAUUGAUGAAAUGAAUAGUCCCGGCCAACUCCGUGCCAGCAGCCGCGGUAAUACGGGGGGGGCGAGCGUUAUUCGAAAUGAUUGGGCGUAAAGAGCACGUAGACGGUUUUUUAAGUGGACAUUAUAUCUUUUUUGUUCUGUAAGGAUAAAAAAGAAAGGAUUAUGGAAAUAUUUCUGUACUCGGGAAAAAGACCAAGGCUCAACCAUGGUGUUUCCCGCCAAACUAAAAAACUAGAGUAAGUUAGAGGAAAGUGGAAUUCCUGGGGGAAAGGUUAAAUUUUAUGAUAUCAGGAGGAACGCCCAAAGCGUAGGCAACUUUCUACUGCUUAACUGACGUUGAGGUGCGAAAGCAUGGGGAUC